Lepisosteus oculatus (spotted gar) is the source of this 380-nucleotide long non-coding RNA. RefSeq lists it as uncharacterized. The record is from RefSeq and is a predicted model, not a curated record. Lineage: Eukaryota; Metazoa; Chordata; Actinopteri; Semionotiformes; Lepisosteidae.
GCAUGGCUCACCCUGCAAGGAGACAUUACGCUGAUCAAAAGCAUCUGUAAUGGGGACCUUGGUUGACAAAGUAACAAGGUUUCCUCAGGAUGUUCGGGGUUUCUUCCACAGUCCGAAGACACACUGAUUUGCACUUUCACCUUGUCCACCUACUCCUUGCUUGCUGAGGGAUAAUUCUGCCAAAUGAUUUACAAGAAGCAAUAAGGGCUGUUUCCGAGGUUCUUACUGACAUCAAAGAAGCUUUGGUGACUGAAGUGGAGAGGAUUGCUUGAGUUACCUGAGAUCAACAAAGGAGCUGAUUGAAAUCCUCUCAGCAAAAUGAUCAGAAGUCUUUUGGAAAGGAUAGGGCAAUAAUGCACUCAUCACAAAAGACAAUUAAA